Chenopodium quinoa (quinoa) is the source of this 4999-nucleotide long non-coding RNA. RefSeq lists it as uncharacterized. Lineage: Eukaryota; Viridiplantae; Streptophyta; Magnoliopsida; Caryophyllales; Amaranthaceae. The record is from RefSeq and is a predicted model, not a curated record. The transcript has 6 exons.
GAUGAGGCUAUAUAGUGAGCCUAGAGACCACAAGGGAAGAUAGAUUAUGAAAUUAUAGGGUCUUUUUCAAUUAGGGAAGCUUGUAAACUAUUUAGUGACGCACACAAAAGAGGCAUGUAUCAAUUUUUCAGGCGUAACUGUAACUGACAUUGACAUUGGUAUUGACUUUUGAUAUUUACAUAUUUUUACCCUUUAAUAAAAUAUUUUCGUAUGUUAAAUAAUAAACAUAAUGAAUUUAUGUUAUGUAAAAGAAAAUGAUAGCCUAAUUUGUGAAAUGUUAUAAUGAUUCAUUUUGAUGUUAUGAAAUUAAUGCGCAUAAAAUUACCUGUGAUUUUUUUUUUAAACCAUUGGCUAGUUUAAUUGCAAAAUUUCUGUACUCGCCUAGAUUUUGGACAAAACAAACUAGAAUUUAUAACAUUACCAAACUUGGAGAGCUGGUCGAUUGCGCGAAAAAUGUUGUUGGAAGAAACCCGGCUCAUGCACGGGUUUUAUGGAAUUGGCGGGCUAAGUUGUCAAAUGAUCCAAAUCUGAGUACUUUUGUUACAUCGCCACCAACACAAAGAGCGAAUCCAAGUGACGAAAUCGCUAUUCAAACAAGUUUUUGUCAUACACUUUCUCACAUUUUUCUCGCACCUGUGCAGGGUAUGUUUCACUAUUACAUAAGUAUCUGAUUAUGUAAUUAGACCAUGAUUUGCUGAAAAAUAUCUACCUUGUACUCUUUUGCAGGCUGGAGUACCUUUUCAAAACAAGGUUCAAAUGAUUGAGUAUUACGACAACUAUUAUCCGGAUAUGAUGAAAGCACUGUAUGAAUCACUUGGAAUUAUUUAUAAUACUCUGAGGCGUAACCGUGUAAGUUAGCUUGAACUUAAUAGAACAUUUGUAGCAAGGUUGUGGCGAAGGAUAUUAUAAAGAUCUUUGUAAUCCUUAACAUUUCAAUAACCCCCUUCUCAUGUUAGACACAUUUAUGAUCUUGUUGUAACUAAAACUCUGUUAGCAAUUUUUAUAUUAAUUUUCUGCUUUGUAUGUCUAGCAUAUUCAUUUUUGAAAGCAUUUAAACAUGACACCAGCAGACGUGGUAGCUAUGAAAUCUAAAGAAAUCUAAUAGAUGUAAUAGAUACAUUUUUGGGGGUUGUUAAACGUCGCUCCCAAUUUACUGGUGUCGUUCGCAUUUUUUCUUUGAAAUUUCGUAUUUACCCCUCGUAUAUAAAUACUCACAACACUCACUCACGACACUUACCACACAUUCACGCACAUAUUUCACUCUCAUUUUAGAAAUUUACCCCUCAACCUUACCCUUAAGGAAUUUGUUAGAUCGAUCGGCAAGUUGAAGAGUGACAUUGGUGGGUACCAAACCACCUAUACCAAGCUUCUCAUAAACCCAAAGAGGCAUCAAACUCGCACUAGCUCCUAGAUCACAUAAGGCAUUUUCAAAGGAAAUGUUCUUAAUAGAGCAAGGAAUAGAGAAACUUCCGAGAUCUUUUAGUUUAGUGGUUGAAUGGUUCUUGAUGAUCGCACUACAAUUUUCGGUUAAGCUCACCGUGGUGGAUUCAGUCAUGACAACUAUCUCAUCCUUACUUGACUUAGAUACCUCACAUUGUUUCUCUUCCUUAACCUCCUCACUCUCAUUCUCUUUUUGCAAACUCAUGGGUGGAGUUUCAUCUAUGCUAGUCCCACAUCUAGUCAUAAUUGCAUUGCAAUGUUCUCUAUGAUCAAUAGCUUGACUAGGCAAAGAGGUCCUAGCAUCUUAUUGUGGGGGUUGCACUUGCUUGAUACUCUCUUCUAAGUCAUUGGUUUUCUUUGUUUGCAUAUUAACAAAUUUUUCCAUUGUGGUUUCUAGACUCGACUUAGGAGGGGGAGCUUGAAUUUGGAGAGGGGGUUGAGGAAUAGGAGCAAGGGUUGGUCUAUUUCCUCCAUUUAAAUCAGGUGGGUUAUUAUUAGAAGAAUAUUGACCCCUUUGAUGGUACCUAUUGUCAUUUUGAUGGUUCACUUGGUUAUUUGACACAUAGUAACCAUUACCUUGAUUCCGAUAAUUUCCUUGGUUGUUAUUUUGAACAUUCCUUUGGCCACUCUAUUGACCUUGACCAUUUCCUUGGGUUUGAUACCCUUUCCAACCAAAGUUUGGGUGAUGUUUUCAUCCCUCAUUAUAAGUGUUGGAAUAAAGGUCAUAACUAGGAUUGUGUUGACCAUUGUUGAUUGCAUUUACUUGUUUUAUGGAAGGGGAGGGGGAUCAUGAAUCAUUUAGCAAAUAACAUUCGGAAUUCACAUGAUCAUCACUUCCACAAGACAUCAUUUGUAUUGACAUAUUUUCAUUAGAUGAACUAGAUGCAUGUGAAUUUUGAUUUGGAGAAGGGGAUAGAAAAGAGGAUUGAAAUUGAUCAAACUUAGAAGAUAAAGCAUCUAAUUUUGAAUUAAUCAUAUUUAUAGCAUUUACCUUAUACUUUCCUCCCUUCUUGGAGAUGCUCCUCUCGUCAGGACUCUAAUCGGUGUAGUUUUGAACUACAUCUUCGAUGAUCUUUAGCGCCUCCGUGGAUGGCUUGUUCAUGAUUGGUCCUCCCGAUGUUCCAACCUACAAUAUGCGGUUCGCUCUUAAAAGACCUCUAUAAAACCCAUGGAGCAAGAGUCAAUCUUCCAUGCCAUGGUGUGGGCAUUGUUGUUGGUAACUCUUGAAUCUCUCCCAAGCAUCAUAGAGGGACUCGUCGGGGUCAUGUUGGAAGUUUGAUAUUUUUUAUCUCAACUCCGCCGUUUUCCCAAGAGGAAUGAACCUCCCAUGGAAUGCCGAAGUCACCUCAUUCCAUGUAUUUAAUGAGUUUUGAGGUAAGCUAUCAAGUCAAUCACUUUCAUUGCCCAUAAGAGAAAACUUGAGCAUGCUCAACAAAAUGUAUUCUGGAGUCACCCCAUUUGCCUUCACGGUGCUACAAUACCAUGUGAAUUGCUUAAGAUGCGCAAUGGGAUCCUUAUGUUUUGCCCCGAAGAUUUAAUGACCCUCUAUCAAGGUGAUAAGGGCGGGCCUUAUCUCAAAAUUGUUUGCUUCGAUAGCGAGAGUAGCAAUCCCACUUGCUUCUUGAUAUGGUGGAGGAACACUAAACUCUCUUAUGGUUUUGUUUGGAAGAGCCAUUUGAAAUUGAUGGGGAGGUGAAGAAGUUGGAGAAUUAGUUCUUGAUGACUCUAAUUGAAUGGUGUCUGCACUAGACUCACUAGAACUAGAAUGAUCAAAAUCAACCACCACUUGUGGCUCACUUGAAGUAGCACCACUACCUCACGCUCUCUUUUCUCUUCGGUUUGCCCUUACAACCUUUUCAAGCUCAAGAUUCAACGGCACAAGAGUAGCCACGCGUGGAAAUGACAUGUGUGAAAGCAUAAGCGGUUACUGCUGAGGAGCUGAGGGGAAACACAAAAUCAGUGUUGGUUGUCGUGUAUUUUGGGGUUUUUCUUAAUGCUAUUAACUACAAAUUACAUCUGAAAUUGUAUCGGGGUCUUUCAUACUUGUUUGUUGUAUGUCAUUUUCAGAUGUAGAAUUGAAGAGUGAGUAGAAUUGAACGGCUAUAAUGCUGGUAUUUAAAUUGAAGUGUGAGUAGAACUGGGUCAAAUUCGAAUCUAGGAAUUGAUGAAUUGGGUUUGAUUUGAUCAGUUUUUGAACUUGAAGGUUGAGAUUUGAUGUUUGGUUGGUUGGUUGAAAACUUGAGCUUAUGUUGUUCUAUGUAAUUUGGGAAGGGAAUCUUGGGGUUUGCAGGAAGUGACUGUAAGAUUUGUGGAUUGCAGAGAAUAAAUUUAAAUUAAAGAAAUCCUUUGUUAAAGCUUGAUAUGAUGUUGCAGGCCAUAAACUCAUUAAACACAAAAAAAAAAUUAAAAAGUGAGGUGAGGAAGACUUAAGCAUCAGCUGGCUAAUGGGGGGUGAACGAGUGAAACUCAUACGAGGAGAGAGAAAGAAAGGAGGGGAGGAUGGGGGGUUGGUUACGGAUUCAUAACUCAAACAAGGGCAUCAUAUCAGGCUUGGUUGUUACUCAAUAUUUUUGGCUACUUGAAGAGAAUCCGGAUGUUGUUUCAGACUUUCAGCAAUGAGAAGCAAGUUGUAUAUUAUGACUAUUAAGAACAAGAAAGCUUCAGUGCAUGAAUAGCUACAAUCUGAGAAGGCCAAGACAGUUGAUCAAAGUAAGAAGAGAUAUGGAUUUUCAUCAUCUAAUACCAGUAAUGGUAAUCAAAUUAAAUGAUGAGGCGGAAGAAUGGGCAUGGAUUCCAAUAAAACAACUCCAUUCUCCGGUAAUCUACGGAAAUACUAAGCUAGCUUAAUCACUCGAAAAUCAUUUUUGUUCAUGUAAUUGAACUUCAGUUUAAGUUACCUCUGAUUUCUGCAUCUUUGAGGUUACUCCUGUUAUAUGGAUGAUCAGUCUUGGACUACUGCCAAACCUUUUGAUUAUCUGUGGCUGAUGGUCCUUAAAGCUUGUGGUCUUUGAGUAUUGGGUUGCUCCUUAAAGCUUGUGGUCUUCAUGCUUUUUAGUUCUCAUCUCACUCCUAAAGUCCUAAUGCUGCUGUCAGUGAAUCUUGAGUAUUCUACUUGGAGAUUAUCAUCGUUAAUUGCCGAGUUUAAAUCUGGUGAUGAUAGGAAAACUGCUGCUGAAGAUACUAUGAAUGCUUACAAAGCUACUCAGGCAUUUGAAGAAGCCACGUUGCAGAGCUGGAUACUAUAGUUGAAGAAUCUUAAAAGGACAACCUCUCCCUCUAGACACCAGCCCAAGUCAGUAUAGCUAUGCUAAAGCCUACAUUCACAUGCUUCAUUAUUGGUUAUGAGUAUACGUUGGCAAUCGUGUAUAUCGCUCGGAGACUGACUUAAUUUAUUUUUAAAGCUUGUGGUCUUCGUGUCAUUUUAUUUUUGACAAUUUUUACAAUGUGGGUUUGUGGGGUUAAUUUGGUUUAUUUUUGUUUCCCAUAUUUAAAUUUGUUUAUUUUUGUUUUUUUGAUCUACAUUGGCAAUAUUGCACCAUUUUACGGAGACUACACUACA